RNAcentral lists this unclassified non-coding RNA (336 nucleotides) under soil metagenome. RNAcentral describes it as "partial contains 5.8S ribosomal RNA, internal transcribed spacer 2, and large subunit ribosomal RNA". The stretch from base 1 to 120 matches the Rfam family "5.8S ribosomal RNA", at positions 35 to 154 of the family's 154-position model. The record is from RNAcentral.
GAUGAAGAACGCAGCGAAAUGCGAUAAGUAGUGUGAAUUGCAGAAUUCAGUGAAUCAUCGAAUCUUUGAACGCACAUUGCGCCCCUUGGUAUUCCAUGGGGCAUGCCUGUUCGAGCGUCAUUUGUACCUUCAAGCUUUGCUUGGUGUUGGGUGUUUGUCUCGCCUUUGCGUGUAGACUCGCCUUAAAAUAAUUGGCAGCCGGCGUAUUGAUUUCGGAGCGCAGUACAUCUAGCGCUUUGCACUCAUAACGACAGCGUCCAAAAGUACAUUUUACACUCUUGACCUCGGAUCAGGUAGGGAUACCCGCUGAACUUAAGCAUAUCAAUAAGCGGAGGA